Molecule: ribosomal RNA, 1365 nt
Filed under: uncultured bacterium
Lineage: Bacteria
Description: bacterial SSU rRNA
Rfam family: Bacterial small subunit ribosomal RNA
Source: RNAcentral
GAUUAACGCUGGCGGCGUGCCUAACACAUGCAAGUCGAGCGGCAGCGAGUUUUACACUGAAUUCUGGAAGCUUCUAGUUGAAAGAGAAGAUUUAUUCAAGAAUUUUGUGUAAAAUGUCGGCGAGCGGCGGACGGCUGAGUAACGCGUGGGAACGUACCCCAAAGUGAGGGAUAACGCAUCGAAAGGUGUGCUAAUACCGCAUAUGGUCUUCGGAUUAAAGCCUUCGGGCGCUUUGGGAACGGCCUGCGUAAGAUUAGAUAGUUGGUGGGGUAAUGGCCUACCAAGUCGACGAUCUUUAACUGGUUUGAGAGGAUGAUCAGUCAGACUGGAACUGAGACACGGUCCAGACUCCUACGGGAGGCAGCAGUGAGGAAUCUUCCACAAUGGGCGAAAGCCUGAUGGAGCAACGCCGCGUGCAGGAUGAAGGCCUUCGGGUUGUAAACUGCUUUUAUAAGUGAGGAUUAUGACAGUAACUUAUGAAUAAGGAUCGGCCAACUACGUGCCAGCAGCCGCGGUCAUACGUAGGAUCCGAGCGUUACCCGGAGUGACUGGGCGUAAAGAGUUGCGUAGGUGGUUCAAUAAGCGAAUAGUGAAAGCUGGUGGCUCAACCAUUCAGACUAUUAUUCGAACUGUUGAACUCGAGAGCAGAAGAGGUAGCUGGAAUUUCUAGUGUAGGAGUGAAAUCCGUAGAUAUUAGAAGGAACACCGAUGGCGUAGGCAGGCUACUGGGCUGUUUCUGACACUGAGGCACGAAAGCGUGGGGAGCGAACCGGAUUAGAUACCCGGGUAGUCCACGCCGUAAACGAUGGAUACUAGCUGUUUGGGGUAUCGACCCCCUGAGUAGCGAAGCUAACGCGUUAAGUAUCCCGCCUGUGGAGCACGAUCGCAAGAUUAAAACAUAAAGGAAUUGACGGGGACCCGCACAAGCGGUGGAUCAUGUUCUUUAAUCCGAUGAUAACCGAUAAACCUUACCAGGUCUUGACAUCCUUGGAAUCUUUCAGAAAUGAGAGAGUGCUUUUUAAGAGCCAAGUGACAGGUGAUGCAUGGCCGUCGUCAGCUCGUGUCGUGAGAUGUUUGGUUAAGUCCAUCAACGAGCGCAACCCUUGUCAGUAGUUGUAUUUUUCUACUGAGACUGCCCCGGUAACGGGGAGGAAGGAGGGGAUGACGUCAGGUCAGUAUUUCCCUUACGUCCUGGGCUAGAAACGUGAUACAAUGGCUAGUACAAUGCGCAGCGAAGCCGCGAGGUGAAGCAAAUCGCAUCAAAGCUAGUCCCAGUUCGGAUUGUAGGCUGAAACUCGCCAGCAUGAAGUCGGAAUCGCUAGUAAUCGCAGAUCAGCAUGCUGCGGUGAAUACGUUCCCGGGUCU